This 65-nucleotide transfer RNA is filed under the name Diaphanoeca grandis. It matches the Rfam family "tRNA", at positions 5 to 66 of the family's 71-position model. Rfam says of the family: Transfer RNA (tRNA) molecules are approximately 80 nucleotides in length. Their secondary structure includes four short double-helical elements and three loops (D, anti-codon, and T loops). Lineage: Eukaryota; Choanoflagellata; Acanthoecida; Stephanoecidae. The record is from RNAcentral. RNAcentral also lists the same sequence under 1 other name.
CGGUUAGCUCAGCUGGGAGAGCAUCGCCCUUACAAGGCGAGGGUCACUGGUUCGAUCCCAGUACC